UUUCAUUUCAUUUUCAUUACUCAAAGUUCAUUUUCUACAGCUCGGAAAUGGCUUCUCAAAUCUCAUUUUUCGAGUUGAAUACUGGGGCUAAGAUCCCCUCCGUCGGACUCGGAACUUGGCUAGCAGCUGAAGGUCUCCUCAGUAACGCCAUUGCUGCCGCCGUCAAGAUCGGGUAUCGCCAUAUUGAUUGUGCUCAAAUCUAUGGCAACGAGAAAGAGAUUGGUUCAGUACUCAAGAAGCUUUUUGAAGAUGGUGUAGUUAAGCGUGAGGAUUUGUGGAUCACUUCCAAACUCUGGUGUACUGAUCAUGCUCCAGAAGACGUUCCAGCAGCACUUGAUAGAACCUUGAAAGAUUUGCAGCUUGAUUAUGUUGAUCUAUACCUAAUCCAUUGGCCAAUUCGGAUGAAACAUGGAUCUGUUGGCUUGGACCCUGAAAACUGUGUUGCGCCGGACAUACAGAGCACAUGGAGAGCCAUGGAAGCACUAUUUGAUUCUGGAAAAGCCCGAGCUAUUGGUGUUAGCAAUUUCACCAUCAAGAAACUCAAAGAUUUGCUCGAGGUAGCUCGCAUUCCUCCGGCUGUCAAUCAGGUGGAGUGUCACCCAGGUUGGAAGCAGGACAAAUUACAUGAAUAUUGCAAAUCAAAAGGAAUUCAUCUAAGUGGAUACUCUCCAUUGGGUUCACGGGGGUCAACUUGGUUCAAGAAUGAUGAUAUUCUUAAAAAUCCAAUUUUUAAAGAGAUUGCUGAUAAACUUGGUAAGACUCCUGCACAAGUUGCCCUUCGUUGGGGGCUACAAAAGGGCCAUAGUGUGCUUCCAAAAAGUACUACCGAGUCAAGGAUCAAAGAGAAUUUCGACAUUUUCGAUUGGUCCAUACCUGAAGAUUUGUUUGCUAAGUUUUCUGAGUUCCAUCAGGCAAGGAUUGUGUUAGGAACCAUAUUUACGUGUGAGAAUGGUCUGUACCGAACGGUUGAGGAAUUGUGGGAUGGAGAAAUCUAAAGGUGUUUGGUAUACUAUCAUUUGGAGGGUAGAAAGAGAAUCUCCUUCGCAGUGUUUUUUUGGUACAACGGUUGUAUGAAAAUAACUCAAGUUCUUAAAUAGUCAUUGUGGGAACUUUCGGGCUGUAGGUUUCAUUCCAAGUUAUUGGGUUUCUUCUUCUUGUAGAGGAGGUCUAGUGUUAAGAGUAUAUGUCUGGAGAUGCCUUAUAGUUUGUUCGAAAUAGACUCAUGACUGUGGCAGAAGGGAAGUAGAGAUUGUUUGACUGAACUCGGACCCUUUGCGCCGGCUCCAAUGAUUUUGACCUCCACAUCGAACCGAGUGGUGGGAAGCAAUAGAAGAAUUGAAGGACAUAACUAUCCAAUUGAACAACUCCAAUUGCGCAACUAUUUACUUUUCAGUAACAUCAAAUUGUAAAAGGUCUAUUGACAAUUUCAAUUAUGUUGUACGUUAUUGGGUUGAACGAAUAUGUUCUAAUUUGAAUAAUGGAUUUGUGAUCUAAA
This 1495-nucleotide unclassified non-coding RNA is filed under the name Hevea brasiliensis (rubber tree). Lineage: Eukaryota; Viridiplantae; Streptophyta; Magnoliopsida; Malpighiales; Euphorbiaceae. The record is from RNAcentral.